UUCUGGGCCCGCCUGUGGCUCAGGGCAGAAAGAG
Non-coding RNA from Paenibacillus algorifonticola, 34 nucleotides. The record is from Rfam. NCBI's taxonomy places the organism in Bacteria, Bacillati, Bacillota, Bacilli, Caryophanales, Paenibacillaceae.